Molecule: long non-coding RNA, 2401 nt
Organism: Mauremys mutica (yellowpond turtle)
Lineage: Eukaryota; Metazoa; Chordata; Testudines; Geoemydidae
Exons: 4
Source: RefSeq, a predicted model, not a curated record
AUGGUCUCUUCUGGCUUUGAAAUCUAUUAUCCUAUAAUGCAAGGAGGGAGGGAUGGAUAGAAUUAUCUUUUUUAGGGCUUGGCAGGGGUGGCCUUUCAUCCCCAGAGCUCUGCUCCUGCAAUCAGAGCUACUUGCUUGGACCCCUUAUCGGACCCAGGAAGCUAUAGGUGAUUGUGCUAAGGGGACCUGACUUCAGAAUCAGGGCCUAAGACCUGGGUGGAGAUCAUCAACUGAGAGCAUGUGAGCAAAAUUUCCUCCUGAAAGCCAUAAACCUCAGGUUGCUCCCAACUUGGGCUGAUGCCUAAGAUCUGCCCUGAAACAGCCCAUGCGUCUCCUCUACAGUGGUACAUAGGUGGUUUCUCCAGCAGAAUGCCAAUCAGACCCUUCUAAAGCACUUUACAAACUACACACACAAUUAUUUCAACUGCUAUGGGCAUGCAGCCACCUCUGGGGUGGAACGCAGCAGCAAACACCUCCUAUGAUGGACUGGAAGAAAUGGGAACACCCAACGAAUGACUACAAACUAACCAAUCAACUGGUCAGGAAGCACAACACUUGAAAAAGUUAAUGAUCUGUCAAGUGCAGCAGUGACAUCCUGAUGGCUUCUGCAUCAGAAGGAGGAAGUGGAGGAGAUUUGAUGAGAGGAAGGGCCACCUGGCCUAGGGCAUAACCAGAGGGGACGUUUAAUGAAGAUCCUGAGCAGGAAUGGUGGAGGCUGCUGGCUGCUCCCUGCUGGGCAGAGGCAGCUAAGGGGAGCAGAAGAUUGAGGUGGGCUGGAAGAAGAGAAUCUCAGGGAAGGGGGCCAGACUGUGGAAAAGGCAGACUGAAUGCAGCAAAAGGGAGGCAAAGACCAGGGCUCGUUAGGGCAGGGCAGAACUCAGCCAGCUGCUGGGCUUGUGUUCUUAGGUAGUUAUUACCCAAGGUGGUGUGUGGUGAGCAGGUCCACUACUGCUCUUCCCUUUUAAUGCGACUUGAAGUGAAACACUGCACAGCGCUGGGCUGCUGGAGUCUCACUGAGCGGUUGGAGUUCAGAGUCAUAGGUUCCAAGGUCAGAAAGGGCCAUUGUCAUCUAGUCCAACCUCCUGGAUGACACGGGCCUUGGGGCUUCCCUGGAAGUAUUCCUAGAACAGAGCCGAGGAAAAAACAGCCAUUCGCAAUUUAAAAAUUGCCAGUGAUGGCAAAUCCAAUGCAACUCUUGGUGUAUUGUUCCAACAGUUAACUAUUCUCUCUGUUAAAAAUCAGCACCUUAUUUCCAGUCUGAAUGUGUCUAGCUUUAACUUCCAGCCAUUGCAUCGUGCUAGGCUUUUCUCUGCUAGAUUGAAGAGCCCAUUUAUCAGGUAGUGGUUCCCCCUGCAGGUACUUACAGACUGUAGUCAUGUCACCCCAUAACCUUUGCUUUAUUAAACUCUCUAGAAUUUGAGCUCCUUGCUUCUCAUCGCUAUCGGGCAGGUUUUCUAAUCCUGCAGUCAUUCUCGUGGCUCUUCUGUGAACCAUCUUCAAUUUGUCUGCAUCCUUCUUGAAUCGCGGACACCCAGAAUGGACACAGGAUUCCAGCAGCAGUCCCACCUGUGCCAAAUACAGAGAAAUCAGUGAUGUCAGAUUCCCCACCAGUGCUGCAUGAACAGGUUUGUCACACCCUGGUGAGACCCCAAUUCUAGAGAUAAAGCAGAGUUCAUUCUCUGCACCUUUGAGACUCUGGCUUCUCUGCAGAGAUUACCACUUGACAAGCACCAAUGGUGCUAGUGGCUUCUGUGAUGGGGACAGGUGACUAUUAAGGACCCACCAACUGAUUUCACAUAAGCUACUGUACCACCUCCUGCUGACCAAGCAUGUUCACUCUCCACAGGCUGCAUGCUGGGUUUGAACCUGUCACCUAGACCAUUGAGGCUACAAGCCAGGCCUUUGUGGGAAGAGAGCUGACCAUUGAAACAAAUGCUUUGUUACUUACACACAAAAUAAAUGAUUAAAGUUUUUUUUAUUCUGCUUUGCCUCUGGCAUCUAUUCAUCCAUUUAAAAUAAACCCUCCCCACACCUUGUCCAUAUGGUGUUCUCUGUCUCCAUUUCUCUUGUGUUUUGCAUGCCAUCAUGGUUGCUUUUCAUGGGCUUCUCUGGCCAGGUACCAGCAAGAAUCUACAUGUACUCUGGGAUUAGUGCCCUCUGGCUAACUACUCCUUGUGAGUGGCCUGAUGUCUGAGUUCUCCCACGUUUGACCAAAACAGAGAUGCUGAUGUAUUUUACCUUUCUCCUCAGGAUGGAAUGGUGCAGUUCACUAUUUUAUCCCCUUAGAGUCAACUGCAGCUUUCACUUAGUUCAACCCCUGGUUAAUUAGAUCCUCCAUCUAAUUCAAUCAGCACCUUAGGAGCUCAGUUGUUUGUGCUAACAGGGUGGAAGUUGUCUUCCU